Molecule: small RNA, 139 nt
Filed under: Theobroma cacao (cacao)
Lineage: Eukaryota; Viridiplantae; Streptophyta; Magnoliopsida; Malvales; Malvaceae
Description: sRNA Tc03v2_g004830
Source: RNAcentral
AAGGGAAAAUAGGUGGAAAUUCAAAAAUCAAGUGAAAAAAGGUGGUGAGUCAAUUGUUUCGGGUAAGAGACUGCACCCGAGGGCGGAAGAUAGGAGUAUUUCUACUCCUAAUACUGCUCGGGGAAUUCCAUAGUUAGCU